CUACGGGGGGCUGCAGUGGGGAAUUUUGGACAAUGGGCGAAAGCCUGAUCCAGCAAUGCCGCGUGCAGGAAGAAGGCCUUCGGGUUGUAAACUGCUUUUGUACGGAGCGAAAAGGUCCUCUCUAACACAGGGGGCUCAUGACGGUACCGUAAGAAUAAGCACCGGCUAACUACGGGCCAGCAGCCGCGGUAAUACGUAGGGUGCAAGCGUUAAUCGGAAUUACUGGGCGUAAAGCGUGCGCAGGCGGUUUUGUAAGACAGGCGUGAAAUCCCCGGGCUCAACCUGGGAAUGGCGCUUGUGACUGCAAAGCUGGAGUGCGGCAGAGGGGGAUGGAAUUCCGCGUGUAGCAGUGAAAUGCGUAGAUAUGCGGAGGAACACCGAUGGCGAAGGCAAUCCCCUGGGCCUGCACUGACGCUCAUGCACGAAAGCGUGGGGAGCAAACAGGAUUAGAUACCCUUGUAGUC
This 464-nucleotide ribosomal RNA is filed under the name uncultured bacterium. RNAcentral describes it as "partial 16S ribosomal RNA". It matches the Rfam family "Bacterial small subunit ribosomal RNA", at positions 339 to 795 of the family's 1533-position model. The record is from RNAcentral.